GAUGAACGCUGGCGGCGUGCCUAAUACAUGCAAGUCGAGCGAUCAGACCUGGAGUUUCUUCCUCUGACGUUAGCGGCGCACGGGUGUGUAACACGUGGAUCACCCCCAUAUAUCACUGGUAUAAGCUCGGGAAACCGGAGCUUAUCCCGGAUAUUAUAUUGACCCGUAUGGUUCAAUAGUGAAAGACUUUCUUGUCGUCAUCUAUAGAUGGACCCGCGCCGCAUUAGCUAGUUGGUAAGGUAACGGCUUACCAAGGCAACGAUGCGUAGCCGAACUGACAGAGGGGUAGGCCACACUAGAACUGGGACACGGUCCAGGCGCCUACGAGAGGCAGCAGUAUGGAAUCUGACGCAGUGGGCGAGAGCCUGGCGGAGCAGGGGCGCGUGAGAGAUGAAGGUCUUCGGAUCGUAAUACUCUGUUAUGAGUGAAGAACAACUUUGAGUGUAACUGUGGACGUAGUGACGGUACCUGAACAGAAAGCCACGGCUAACUACGUG
Molecule: ribosomal RNA, 497 nt
Filed under: uncultured bacterium
Lineage: Bacteria
Description: partial 16S ribosomal RNA
Rfam family: Bacterial small subunit ribosomal RNA
Source: RNAcentral